UCGCCUCUAAGGUUUAUUAGAGGUACCACCUGCCCAUUGAAUUUUAAAAGGCCGCAGUAUUUUGACUGUGCAAAGGUAGCAUAAUCAUUAGUCUUUUAAUUGAAGACUUGUAUGAAUGGUUAGACGAAACAUUAAUUGUCUUUAAUAGGUGGUGUAAACUUAACCUUUAAGUGAAAAGGCUUAAAUAAGAUUGAAGGACGAGAAGACCCUAUAAAGCUUAAAACAUAAACUAAUAAAUUAUUAGUUGACUAAAAUUUAAUAGGAAAUGUUUUUGGUUGGGGCGAUAAGAAAAUAUAUUAACUUUUCAUUAAUUAACAUUGAUAGAUGAACAUAUGAUCCAAAAUUUUUGAUUAGAAAAUUAAGUUACUUUAGGGAUAACAGCGUAAUCUUUUUAAGAGUUCCUAUCGAAGAAAAGGAUUGCGACCUCGAUGUUGGAUUAAAAUAAACUUAAGGUGCAACAGCUUUAAAGUUAGGUCUGUUCGACCUUUAAAAUUUUACAUGAUC
Molecule: ribosomal RNA, 504 nt
Filed under: Tortopus sp. BYU IGCEP059
Lineage: Eukaryota; Metazoa; Arthropoda; Insecta; Ephemeroptera; Polymitarcyidae
Description: partial 16S ribosomal RNA
Rfam family: Archaeal large subunit ribosomal RNA
Source: RNAcentral